AAGAGUGCAGCUUGGAGGAGAGUGUCUGCUGCUGAUGCAAAAGCAGUCAGGCACGGCUGACCUGCUGGGGCACGGCUCAUGUUCGGAGGCUUGAUCUCAGCAGUGGUUUUAAUGAAGAGAGAGAAUGCGGGGAUUGUAAGGAAUGAAAACAAACUGGCCCAGAAUGCUAAUACUGCUACUUUGGUCUAAUUUCAGGUCAUCAGUACAAGGGUUCCCCUGGCUCACGUCUGUGUCGGAAAGAGGAGUUUCGUGAGCCAAGGCAUCGUUGCCUUCUCUCUUGCCUGCGGUGAACUCCUCAAUGCAAUGAUAAACUACUUGUAUUAAACAACAGAAGAGGAAUUUUGAGGCAAUAAAUAAAUCAUCUCCCUGCA
This 371-nucleotide long non-coding RNA is filed under the name Struthio camelus australis. RNAcentral's name for it is "lncRNA (ENSSCUG00000013296.1)". Lineage: Eukaryota; Metazoa; Chordata; Aves; Struthioniformes; Struthionidae. The record is from RNAcentral.